AUGUUUGGCAAGAUCCACAAUAUGCAUAACUGUUGUGGUGUUAUAUGUACAACUCACAUACCAUUUGGACCAAACUGGGACCAUGAGAAGAAUGGUAGCACACUGAUGCAAGUCAUCGUUGAUCUAGAGAUGAGGUUCGGAAACACUUGGUUGGGACCAGUGGGUAGCAUGAACCAGUUGGGCCUUUUGCAGGACUCUGGAAUCUUUAAAAGGUGUGAAAAGGGCGAUUGGCUGAAUGGCAGGAAGUUGAAGGUAGCAUUAGAUGAAUCAGAAGCUGGGGAAUACAUAAUUGGUGAUGCAGGAUAUCCUCUUCUGCCAUGGCUACUCACACCUUACAAGGAACGAGACCUGUCGGACUCCAAGGUGCAGUUUAACAGGGGACACUCCUCAACCACAACCUGUGCUCUGAAGGCACUGGCAAGGCUCAAAGACACAUGGAAGUACCUGCAGGGAGAGAUGUUGUGCCCUGUCAAUCUAGGCACUCUAUAUAAGGCAAUCUAUGCCUGUUGUAGGUUGCAUAACAUAGUCAUAGAAAUGGAGGAUGAUUCGGCCAUGCUGAGCCCCAAGUGGAGGAAUUACUCUGAGGAAGUGCGCCAAUUAGCAUACGAGGAUGCCCUCAAGGCGAGGGAUAUGUUGUCGCAACACUUCCUGGCCAGCUGGUCAUCUGAAUUGGGAGAGGAGGAGGAUGAAGUAGCUGCAUCAGGCUGA
RNAcentral lists this ribosomal RNA (708 nucleotides) under Triticum aestivum (bread wheat). Its description in RNAcentral is "partial small subunit ribosomal RNA". Lineage: Eukaryota; Viridiplantae; Streptophyta; Magnoliopsida; Poales; Poaceae. The record is from RNAcentral.